RNAcentral lists this ribosomal RNA (496 nucleotides) under uncultured bacterium. RNAcentral describes it as "partial 16S ribosomal RNA". It matches the Rfam family "Bacterial small subunit ribosomal RNA", at positions 28 to 506 of the family's 1533-position model. The record is from RNAcentral.
GACGAACGCUGGCGGCGUGCCUAAUACAUGCAAGUUGAGCGAUGAAGAUUGGUUCUUGCACCAAUUUGAAGAGCAGCGAACGGGUGAGUAACGCGUGGGGAAUCUGCCUUUGAGCGGGGGACAACAUUUGGAAACGAAUGCUAAUACCGCAUAACAACUUUAAACAUAAGUUUUAAGUUUGAAAGAUGCAAUUGCAUCACUCAAAGAUGAUCCCGCGUUGUAUUAGCUAGUUGGUGAGGUAAAGGCUCACCAAGGCGAUGAUACAUAGCCGACCUGAGAGGGUGAUCGGCCACAUUGGGACUGAGACACGGCCCAAACUCCUACGGGAGGCAGCAGUAGGGAAUCUUCGGCAAUGGACGAAAGUCUGACCGAGCAACGCCGCGUGAGUGAAGAAGGUUUUCGGAUCGUAAAACUCUGUUGGUAGAGAAGAACGUUGGUGGGAGUGGAAAGCUCAUCAAGUGACGGUAACUACCCAGAAAGGGACGGCUAACUACGU